Molecule: long non-coding RNA, 11932 nt
Filed under: Nicotiana benthamiana
Lineage: Eukaryota; Viridiplantae; Streptophyta; Magnoliopsida; Solanales; Solanaceae
Description: long non-coding RNA (NBEN_LNC031564)
Source: RNAcentral
UAAAAAAUAUUAUCCAGUCCAUAAAUAUAAUAUAAAGACCAAGAACAAGUUAUGCUCAGCAAAUAUAUUACUAAGAAGUUCAACUACAAAAUAAUCUGUUAGCUUGAUAUUAGAAUUUAUAGGCUGCAAGAAACAAUUAGAAAAAUGUUGGGGUUGCACGUGGGAUCGUGUGUUAAGGGAUAAAGAUGAGUGCUCUUAGUAAGUUCAUGGUAACUGGGCUCUUGAGUGUUUUAAGGCUGCUGGACUAUAUCAAGAUAAUACAAGAGUUAGAAAAAAUACUUCUACUAGGAGAGGCAUAGGAAGAGGACUUAGACUAAGAGUUGGCAGAGGAGGGGGAAGAGGAACUGGUAGAUGAAGGAGAAGGGUCGCUGGUUCUAAUUCAACAAAUACAGCAGCCAGUGCACCUGCAUGAUUUGCUACUGCUGCUUCAUUUCACGGGCUGCUAAAUUUAUUCCUGCUACUGUUGGAAAAAGAAAGAACAAGAGAACUGCAAUUUGGUAUUUACAUUAGACACACAAUCUGGAAGACAAGUCCUUAAUGUAAGCUCUUUCAUAUUUUAUAUAUGUAGCUAUUUCAUACGUUAUUAAUAUAUAUUACUCUGAAUUUUUGGCUCGGAACAUCGAGAGAAAGAGUCAUCUUUAGUGUGAGACAAUUAAAGAAUGCAUCACUUAUCAAUAUUGAUCUUGGAUUCAAGCUCCCUAGAUUGAAAUAUUAGGGAAAAUCUGCUAUUACUGAAAAUAAAUUUGAACAACGAAAAGAGAUGCAAAUGAAGAAUAAAAAGACUCACUAGAGAACAUUUUACUUUAUGUAUUUUGUUCUAAAAUCUCAAUUUUAGUUAUUUGCUAUUAAAGCAAUCUUUUAGAUGUAUGUUUGAUAUUUUAUUUUGUGACUAUUACCUUAAUUUGCGCAAUGAAAUUUGCAGAAUUUUAAAAAUGAACAUUUAUGCUCCAUUAUCAGUUCAUUUUGAUAGACUUUUCUAUACAGUUAAUAUUUGAGUAUGUCAAAAUUUUGCUGAAAUAUUAGUCCAAAAAUGAUUCAACUUAUAUUCAUCUUAGGGUUAGAUUGCAUUAUUUAAAAAAGAGCUCCUUCAACCAACUAAAUUACAAAAUACAAGAAAAUAUUACAUAAGAAACUCUCUAACAAUAAAAGCUAGUAUCACAAUGACGUACUUUCUCCUCAUAUUCUCCUUUUCUUCGUCGUAUUUUGAUCCUCUUCGAAAAUUCCCAGAUAAUGAUCCUAGCUUGUUCGGGAAAUUUAUUUUCAAACCACUUAAAAUACUUAUACCCUUCCAGUAAAAUAGUAAGAAAGGUCCAUAAAAAUGAAUUCUUGGCCAACUAAUUUUGAAGAAAUAAAAUAGGCACCAAAAAAUAUUUAAAUAUUUAUUUACCGAACCAUAUUGGCAUCAAAGAUAUUUGCGACUUGGGUUAUUUUGUGAUCUUGAAACCAUCAAUUCUAUCCUUUUACCACAAUGCCACUACAAGGUGCCUUCCAUUUUUUAGAAUGCUUUGUAAUAGAGAAAGAAGGAAGAUGGGAGUAGGAAAGGGUCGGGGAAGAAUGGGGAAGAAUGAGGAUUUAGGUUAAGAAAUUUGACAAUUAAUAUAAAAGGAAUUAAUUAAGGGUAUAAUAUUAAUUUUAUUGUUUUUAACCGUUAUAACCAAGAAAAUUUUUACCUAACAUGCUGCCCAAUAGUUGUAUCUCACUCGUGUUGCCAUGUAGACCCGUGUGUUUAGUUGACACACUAAAACAAAACAUAAAGUGCCUAUAUGGACACCUAGUAAAUUGGACUAACAUUAUGUGUUUCUUUGUGUAUUUUGGAUUUUUUAAUCUAAACUUAUAUACUCGCACAAUGACCUACUCUAAUUAAGAAUUUGAACACGUGAUAAAGUGUUUACAUACUUAUAUUUUGAAAAUAUUUCUGAGCUUGAGAAUAAAGAGUCCAUCCAACGUGGUUGGGCUAGUUUUGUGAAUUUUUAACUAUGAACUUAGAUACUGGACAAAGAUGUCACGAUCUAAUUUCUACUAAAGAUUAUACAUCAUAAGAAAACAUAAAAAAUAUACCUAUAAUAACAUCUGGAGACGACUCGAGAUCCUGUCGGCCUAUUACAGCAUAAGUUCGAUUUUGGCCACCACUUGAACUCAACACUGUACCUCUAACUCUACCACGACCUAUUGACUGCUGAAAACCCCGUGCUAGAGGUCGAGCUGAUGAGAAAGAACCAGACACAGAUCGAGUCAGCUGAGCCAUGCCAUCACCUCCCCUUUUAGGACAAUCAUGCAUCAUAUGGCCAGGCUAUUCGUAAGAAUAACAUGCUUCAGAACCUCGAUGGCACAUUUCAAAGUUGUGGGUAUCAUCUGACUAUAUCCCUGUUAUGUUGCGAGCCUGAUGCCCGCGAAAUCUGACCUAAACCAGAAUAGUAGAUCAAUCAUAUCAAGGCCUUUGAAACUGUGGAGGAGUACUAGCUACAGAUGACGUCGAACUCAUCAAAGACUGGGUCCUGACACUACCUCUAAAGCCAUCAGAAUACAGUGCAAAGCUUUUCUUCUUAUGCGAGCCCCAAUCAUGCUCCCUAGCUGCCCACUGUUGGAGCGUACGAUCCUCUAGGGUCUGGGCAUAAGCCUCAAUACGGAAAAUAUCCAUGCCUUCCACCAAGGAAGCUGUCAUACACUCAUUUAUCAAAUGUGGUCCUAACGCGUUCACGAACAAAUGCACCCUAUCACUUAUCUCGGCCACCAUACGGGGAGCAUACCUUGUUAAAGAAUCAAAUUGCAUACUAUACUCUCGCAUAUUCAUAUUACCUUGUCUAUUGUUCAAGAACUUAUCAGCAUUAGCUUGUCGUAGCUCAACUAGAAAGUAGUGACGAAGAAAGGCCUCGAAAAAAUCCUUCCACACAGCUGAUGGAGCGUUUGGACCCCUGGAUCUCACCCAAAUAUCAUACUAGAGAACCGCUAAAUCCCGUAUCCAAUAAGAAGCCAACUCUACUGCCUCGAUAUCACUAACAUGCAUAAUUCGUAGUGUACGAUGAACCUAUUCAAUAAAAGUUUGCGGGCCCUCCUUGGGUUCUGAUCCGGUAUACACUGGAGGGUCUAAAUUAAUAAAAUCACGAACUCUCGUACUAACUGGUUUAUCAACAACACAUGUAUUCUGCAUUUGGGCCUGAGCAGCUACCAAGCUAGUUAAUAACUGCAAAGCACUCCGCAUAUCCUGGUCUGUAGUGCUAGAUGGAGGAACUGGAGGUGUUGGAUUCCUCCUAAUAUCCUCUGGAGGAGAAGUAGAUGAGGUAUGAGACGACAUCUGACUUUGGCCUACUCUAGCUUGGGGCACCUCAGUGGUGCCCUCUCCCACAACUGUAUCAAGCUGUAUACUAAUUGUUUGCUUCCUAGUCGAAGGCAUCGCUAAAAGAAAACAAGGUAAAUAUUAGAGAGAACACUUACAACUCAACUCUAUUCACGAUCUAGAUUCAGGAAUAAAGGUAAUAAUCUUAGAUGUCCUGUAGCCUCCUGAUUAUAAAUGUGGCGUGCUACAUAUCCAUAAUUAAGAUUCUGCUAGACACGGAUCAUAGACAAUCCCUAGGAUAGAGCGACUUCAAUACCAAGUUUGUCACGACCAAAUUGGAGGGCCAUGACUAGCACCCAGCCAUACUUGCUGUGCACCAACGUACAUUUUACCUAACCUUCUUUAUUAUCUUUUUGGGCCAAUGAGAUCAAUAUAAAUGGUAUCCAUGGAUCAUGGAGAACCAACCAUAAAAUAUGAUGGAAUAAACAUACAAAACAUGGGGUGACCAAACAAUUAAUAAACUAUAUAUAAGGUACCAGCUACCACGCUACCAUGAAAGACUAUACAACAAAAACUAGCCGACAAGGCAUACCAAACUAUACAUGAGUCGACACCUAUCAAUGAGCCUCUAAAGGAACAUAAGUGCUGCAACAUAGCCGGAACAGGGCCCCGACAUACCCAUAAUGUCUCUAAGAAAAAUGCAUAACAAGACCACGACAAGUCCAGAUAAGGGAUCUCGCCAAGCACCGCUGAAUUGGAGAGCCUACUGUGGUGGGGGAGCUGCACCUGCCUGUCUAUCUGGACCUGCAGCACGACAUGCAACAUCCACAAAUAAAAAGGCAUCAUAAUGAAUAAAGUACUUAGUAUGUAAGGUAGGGAACCAUAAAUACAAACAAAUGUAAGUAGCGAUAGAGAAUAUACAACCUGUAACAUCUGAGUACCUCUAAGGGCUACUGACAUAAAAUGCAUGAUACAUAUGUAUACAUAAACGCUGAAAACAUACGCCUCUGUGGGCAUCAAUAUCAUUAUAUCAUACCUAGACGUAAUAGGUUCUGUAAAAAAAUGUACCCGGCAUCAUAACGCUCGGUAGAUUCAUACCUAGCCACGUGGAGCUCGAUAAAAUCCAACUGAUCAGUGGUUGCACAAUAGGUCCGUACCCGGCUGACUAUAGCACGGCUCGUUACAGUAAAAUAGAUACAUAUAUAUAAUGCAUGCUCGACUCCUGAAAACAUGUUCUAGACCUUUCAAAGUGACGUAAGAUCGAUAUUCUCUGUACACGUUAUUAGGACUAACUCUUCACUAUGAACCUUGUAUGAAUCAGGAAGUACCAACAACAUUGAUAACAUAAGAAUAAGAGAAACAACAUUGCAUCAAUUGUUCCAUAAGAGGGGAAACAAUGUAAGUUCUGCUAGCUUCUAAGAGUAGAGUAACUUUAGGAGCUUGUUCAUUACAUUAUGUACGACCAGAGUCGUGCAAAAGAAGGAAAGGGAUAGCCUCACAUACCUUUUAUAUACUGCCCCAGUAUCAAGCUAUGCAGUUUUCACAACUCCCUAGUGUACAAUAAGAGAAAUGAUACAAUUGUUAACAUUUAUGCGUCAUAACUAUUUAUGUAUCGACAACGACCUAUUUUACGAUGAAACGGACAGAACCUCCCGUAUAUAUAUGAAUUCAAAAAAUUCCAAAUAAUCACCAAACACCAACAACAUCAAUAAUUCGUAGCCCAACAGCAACACAAAAUAGUCCACAAAAUAGUCUGCCACAAGUGAAUAACUCGAACUCACUGCUUCCGAUCACCGUCCCGUGAGUUGUUACAUGUAUAGCACGAAUUACCAUGAUUUUAUAGAAGAAAAAAUGUCUAAUAUAGAGUAGUAAACUUACAUUACCCGUUGGAUAACUCAGCCCUUCCCUUGGGUCUUUAAACUCUAGAUUUUUACCCUCAAUGAGAACUUGAAAGAGAGGGAAUAUCAAUUAGGGUUGUGUGGAAUUUUUGGGAAGAAGUUUGUAGGGGUGUAGGUCUGAUUAUUUAUGAGAUAUAUUGAGGUUUAUGUUGCAGGAGAUAACCCUUUAAAUAGGCUCAAUAGCCAAACCCAUAUUUUCUUUUUUUUGGGCUAUCAUUUAACCAAGUAGGUGACACACCUACUUGUCACCUAGCAGCUUGCGCAGUCUCACAAAAAUGCAUAUAUCUCUCUACUCCGAUCUUGUAUUGAUAAACAGUCUAAUGCAUUAGUAACUAGACUCAAAGAUAUUAAAUUUUGUGGGUAGAACCCUGUAAUUCCAAGUAGAUUGGGAGAAAAGCUUAAUGACAUUUGACCUAAAGUUUAUGUUAAACCACGAACCUAAGUUGCGACAACUUUAGUCAACUUUUGUUUCAUAACUCGUUUGAUUUCAAGUCUAUGAAAUGGAUAUUAUAUGAUUCAAAUACGUUAAAACAUGACCUCUUGACUGUAUUAAGCACCAAUAGCUUUACCCAAAAAUACAAGUUGCAACAUCCUUGAUUCGUUCAACUUCUAAUACUUGUUAAUCACCCUUAUAUACCCUUGUAUCACUUAAGAUCAAUAUGAUUAACUUCUUAUCUUCUCAAGGAUAAUUCUUUCUUGUAUUUAUGUUAACUAACGUAUGGCAUGUACUAACGAGUGUGGAUAUGGGUUGUAAAAGUAUUGUAUAUGUGAUAUGUUGUGGAGGAUUGGGAUAUGCAUGUGUAAAGAGUAUUUCAGAUGUUUUUAGAAAACUUAGGCUUGAAUUCGAUGUGAAUUGAUGGAUUUGGUGUUGUUUGAGGUGCUUUGAUGAUUGGAACAAGUUCAAAUGCGAUUUUAGGAUGUGUUGGUGAUUUUGUUGAAGUUUCGGGGGCCUCGGGUGACUUUUGGAUGGUCAAUCAAACUUUUUUUGGUAUGUUGAAGUUGCAGAUUUCUCAUUUCAGGUGUUGCAGACAAUUUAAUCUUCGCAUUUGCAUAGAGAGCCUCGUGUUCGCGAAGAAGGAAUUGGAAGGCAGGAAUAUAAGCCUUCUCUUUCGCAUCUGAGGGAUCACAUUCGCGGAAGGCUAAAAUGGUUGCACUUUGCAUUCGGAUGGGCUAGAUCGCGUUCACGUGUAAGGAUUGGGGGUCCAGGAGCAGUUGUUCUAAACGUUCACAUAAGGAAUGAUGCGUUCACAUAGGAAGGAAGGCUGAGGCAUCACGUUCGCGGGGUGAGUCUCACGUUUGCAUAGGGUUAUUUUUUUGAAAUUAAAAGAUGUGCUUCGUUCGCGAGGCAGUAGUCGCGAACACGAUGAAGGAUUAUUAAGUGCGGGGCAAAAUGUUUUAAAAAGGCUAUUCCGCAAUUUAAAGAUUUAGAAACUCUAUUCUAGAGCAAUUUUGGAUCUUGGGAAAGCUAAUUGAAUAGUGAUUCAAGAGGAAUCACCUGGAGAUAAGAUUUUGAACUCAAUACUUGAGUAUUACGUGAAUUCCACCUAGAAAAUCAUGAAAACUAGGGAUUGCGAUUUAAAAUUUUAUUUAUGGAUUUGAAGGACCAUUUGAGGUCAGAUUUAAGAACUUUUGGUAUGUAUGAACUCGUGGGAAGAUAAGGAACCCGUUGAUGUGAAAAUUUCCAUGUUUCGAGAAGUGGGUCCGAGGCUCGGGUUUUCCUAAUUUCGGAAUUUCUGCCCGUUAUUGAUUGUUUUCGCUUGGGCUUUGUUCCCUUAGCAUAUCAUGAUUUACUCGCUCUGAUUUUUUAUAUAUUCGGCACGCAUGAAGGCCGAUUUGAGGGGCAAAGGCGUCGCGAGCUAGAGAUUUCGCCAGCUUGAGAUGAGUAAUGAUUAUAAAUGAUAUCCUGAGGGUUUGAAACCCUGGAUUGCACAUCAUAGUGCUAUAUUAAGGUGAGACACAUGCUAGAUGAUGAGCGCGAGGUCAUUUUAUACUGGGAAUUGUGUCAUGGUCCGUCCCAAUUGAUGAUUUUACCAUAUAUUUGACUGAAACUUAUUUGUUAUUACCAUGAUUUGGAUUGAUUGUCAAAUUUGGGUUUCACGCCAAUUAUUUGAACCCUUCGGGGAUUUUUAUCACUAUUUCCUCACUGUUUUAAUCUAUUACUUGAACUCAGACAUCUUGAUAUCUACAAAUUUAUAGACUCGGCCACUUUUACUCAAAUGUGAAACUUAAAUGAUAUUUCUGAACGAUUUUUUGGGCUGAGAACUACUAUUUUACUAAUUCUCGAGUGGCUUGUGAUAAUUUUUGGACUGAGUGAGGCCGAGGGCCAUAUGUGAGGAUAUGCUGAGUGAUAUGAGGUUGAGGGCCUGAGAUACAUUUAUAUGCCACGAGGCGGCUUGAGUGAUAUGAGGCCGAGGGGCGAGUGAUGAUGCCAUAAGGUGGCUUGAUAUACUUCUUUGGUCGUAAGGGGCCCCUCUGAAGUCUGCAUACCCAUAGUUAGCACAUGUACCCAUUAUACUGAGAGAGCCCGAGGGGCCGAUAUGAGUGAUUGUGAGGUAGACCAAGGGGAUGAUACAAGUUAUUGUGAGGUAGCCUGAAGGGCUGAUAAUAUUCAGAGAAUGAGCCCGAGGGGUUGAUACAAGUGAUUGUAAGGUAGCUCGAGGGGCCAGUACUAUUAUGAGAUAUUGCCCGAGGGGCGAACUUUUAUGUGAUCAUCUUACAUAUUGAAUUGUCUUUGUACCUGUUAUACUAUGGUAUUUAUGCCCGACGGUCGCAUUUUCUGUUCAUAUUAACACUAACUGUUUGAAUUGAUUGCAUAACAGUUGAAAAGGUCAUUUUUAAAAAAAGGUUUAAACUGAGCCAAGAUAUUUGUAAUGAUUUCACAGCUUCACUUUCUUUCUCAAAUGAUUGUAUGUUGCUUGUACACAACAUGUAGGUUGUUUUUACGUGAUUUCUUACAACUCAGUUGUUAUUUUACUUUAUUGCUCACUGAGUUGGAGUACUCACUUUACUCCCUGCACCACAUGUGCAGAUGCAUGUAUUUGUUCACCUGGUAGCGGGUUUGGCUGAUUCGAGGCAGAGCUAUAGCAGUUUAGCGAGGCGGCUUCCAGCAUUCGCAGCACCGCUUCUCUCUCUAUCUUGUUCAUUAUUCCUGAUUAGUGAAUUUUUUAGACCUUGUGGCCGCAUUUAUUCUCGAAUAGAUGCUCAUGACUUGCUAGUUAAUAUAAUUAAAUCAUAUUUAAACUAGUUAAUAGAGUUGUUCUGUAAUGGUCUGGCUGGCCUUGUCUUCAGGAGAGGCGCCAUCACAGCUUGGUAUGGGUUUAGGGUAUUGACACGAUCACAACAGACAUCAUGAAAAUGUGAAGCCCACACUUCCUUCCUUACACGAACGCGAGGCCUCAAUCGCAUACGUGAAGGCCGGUUUCAGACCACCUCCAAUAUCCCCCUAAGCGAUCGUGGCUCGACCCACGCAAUCACAAAGGCUUAAACUUGCAACACCUUGAAUGAAAAAUCCGCAGCUUUCCAACACAAAAACUAGCCCGAUAGAACAUCUGAAACUCACCCGAGGCCCCUGGGACCUCAACCAAAGGCACCAACACAUCCUAAAACAUCAUUCAAACUUCUUCCUAUCAUCAAAAUACCUCAAACAAUACCAAAACCUUCAAUUCACAUCGAAUUCAAGCCUAAGUUUUCUAAAAACUUCUGAAACACGCUUUUGAUUAAAACCCCGACUAAAGCACCUCUGAAUAACCUAAUAUGUUGCAUACGCAUCCCAAAUCACAUUACAAAGCUACAACAACUCUCAGCAUUCCAUUCCGACCUUCGAAUCAAAAUUUCACCUAUCAACCGAAAACUUCAAAAAUUCAAACUUCGGCAUUUCAAGCCUAAAUUAGCUACGAACCUCCAAAAAACAUUCCAAACACGCUCUCAACACCAAAAUCACCUAAAAAGCUAAUGAACCCAUUGGAUUUCCAUUCCGAGACCAUCUUCACACUCUUCCGACUAGGGACAACUUUCCAGCACUUAUGCUCUCAAUUAGGGACUAUGUGUCCCAAAACUAUUCGAAACUCAAAACCGAACGUCACGAUAAAUCAAAGUAGCAGAAUAAAACUCGGGAAAAGUAGUUAACAGGGGAUCAAAGCAUAAAUUCUUAAGACGAUCGGUCGGGUCAUCACAAAAUGGAUGUUAAAAUGACCUUUUUGGGUAGAAACCUUAUUGAAGAGAUUUAUAUGCAACAACCUAAAGGUUUUGUUCUUCCGGGAAAUGAGAAUAAAGUAUGUAAAUUGAUAAAGUUUCUAUCACGACCCAUGGGGGGAUAAUCACUUGUUUUCUUAUCAUUAUGUACUUUCGAGGCCUUGCAAACCCCAUCUAGGGUUACCUGGAUUUGCGUAUAUAAUCCGGGCAAGUAAUCGGAAAGCUUAGAUAUGAAUUCUGUGAGAAAAAGGCUAAAUUUUGAGAUUAAAUUUGAAUAAAUUUUACUUCCGUCAGAAUUUUGGGUAACGGAUCCGGGCCUAUCAAUUAACGGUACUAGAGGGUCCGUAGGAAAAUAUGGGACUUGGCCGUAUGCCCUAAAACGAAUUCCGAGGUCACAAGCCCGAGAAAUAAAUUUUUGCGUGAAUGUUUUUUGUAGAAAUAAUUAAGGAAACUGGAAGUGAAAUUUGAUUAAAAGCUCAUGGUAUCAGGCUCAUAUUUUUUUUCUGGUACCCCGUACAAGUCUAUAUAUGGUUUAAGUACUUCCUGUACAGUUUGGUUGAAAUCGGACGUCAUUUGACGUGUUUUGAACUUAAAAAUGUAAAUUUGAUGUUUUAUGAAACUUUUGAGGAAACCAUGAGCUUUCAAGCUUAAUUCAAUGUAUAUGAUGUUAUUUUGGCUAUUAAUCGCGCGAGUAAGUCCGUAGGAUGUUUUUGAGCUUCUGUGCAUAUAUGAUUUGUAGCCCCGUGGGCUCGAUUUAGUUUUGGAUGGGCGUCGUAGUGUAUUUUUAACCUUGAAUGUUGCUCGUAUUUACUGGCUUGCAGGCUUUAAAUUUGACUCGUAAAUGCGAUAUAGCAAAAGCGAGUGGUCCUUUGCAAUUUCGAAGUAAGGCCAGGCCAUACUUUCUCCCAAAUGCGAGCAUUAAUUCGCAAUUGUGAAAACGCUCGGGGUGCCAGUUAUUACAAAUGCGAUCCUUAUGUUGCAAAUGCGACCCUAACUUCGCAAAUGCGAAGGUCCUGAAUAUAGGAAGGCUUCGCAAAUGCGAACCCAAUUUUGCAUUUUCCAUGUCAGCAAAGGUCGGGGUUUGCAAUUGAGAACCCCAGUUUGUAAUUGCGACAUUUGCAACCUGCAAUUUUAUACUUAGUCGAAAUUUUGACAUUUUUCACCCCAUUUUCAAAACACAACUCCUUUGGGCCAUUUUCCAAGAACAAGACAUCUUUCAAAUCAUUUGUAAGUUGGUUUACACUUAUUUCUUUUAAUCUUUAACAUCAUUAUACAUGAUUUCAAAUUAAAAUCAAUGAUUUUCAUGGGUGAAAUUUGAGGUUUGGGGUAGAACCUAGGUUUUUCUAAAAUUGGGUAUUUGGACCUCAAUUUAAGGUCCGAUUUCAGAACAAAUCAUAUAUUUGAGUUCGUGGGGGAUGGGUAAUAGAAUUUCAUCUCGAACCUCGGGUUUUGACCACGUUUUCCUGAGUGGUGUUUUGGUUAUGUUACCAAAAUUUGGGUCUUAGCUUUAAAUUAAAUAGUAGAAUCAAUUGUUUAAGAUUUAUCGAAAUGAAUAGAUUUGGGCCAUUUGGAGUCAGAUACUCGUGGCAAAUGUGUGGUUUCAAGUUGAAUUGGAGUCGGUUUGAGGUAAGUGGCUUGUCUAACUUUGUGGGGGGACCUUUCCCAUAGGUUAUGUUAUUUGGUAAUUGAGUGCCUUGUACGUGAGGUGACGAGCGCGUACUUGAGCUAAUCGUUGAAAAUCCAGUUUUUUUAUUUAAGAUAUUGAGACUGAGUUUCUUUCGUACAUACUUUAUCUUACUUGCAAUUAUAACUUGUGUUAGAUUAGAAAGAAAUAUUUAGUUGAUUUAACUUGCCUACUUGCUUAAAUUUCCUUAACUGCACUACGUGAGACAUGUUAGGCUAGAACUAUCUGUUGCUUGUAUUGUUGUACUUAACUUCUGAAUACUUUCUGAUUGUAGUUGCACAUUUACAUUAGGACUACGGGUUAGAUUCCCGGGGGAUCCCCCUGCACAUAUUUUUUUAUAGACUACAGGACGGUAUCCUGGGAGAUCCUUGUUAUUCGUAUUGAUAUAGAAAUGGACUACAUGACGGUAUCCUAGAAAAUCCUCAUUAUUGGUAUUGAUAUGGAAAUGGACUAUAGGAAGGUAUCCUGGAGAUCCUCGUUAUUGGUAUCGAUAUGGAAAUGGACUACAGGACGGUAUCCUAGGAGAUCCUCGUUGUUGGUAUUGAUAUUGAAAUGGACUACAGGAUGGUAUCCUGGGAGAUCAUCGGUAAUUGUAUUGACAUGGAAAUGGACUACAGGAUGGUAUCCUACGAGAUACUCAUAAUUUGUACGGUUAUUGAGAUGUCGUACUCUGUGUUAUCAUAUCCUCUGUGAGUUGGUUGUUGUUUAUGUAACCUGGACUUAAUUCACAAUUGUAUUUAGUUAUUUCUGCUUAUUUCAUACAAUUGCUAGAAUUUUUAUUAUAUUGCUUAAUCUUUGUAGGGACCUGACCUUCCUCGCCACUACCCGACCGACAUUAGGCUUGGCACUUACUGAGUACCGUUGUGGUGUACUCAUGCCUCUUUU